RNAcentral lists this ribosomal RNA (497 nucleotides) under uncultured bacterium. Its description in RNAcentral is "partial 16S ribosomal RNA". It matches the Rfam family "Bacterial small subunit ribosomal RNA", at positions 28 to 507 of the family's 1533-position model. The record is from RNAcentral.
GAUGAACGCUGGCGGCGUGCCUAAUACAUGCAAGUCGAGCGAACGGACGAGAAGCUUGCUUCUCUGAUGUUAGCGGCGGACGGGUGAGUAACACGUGGAUAACCUACCUAUAAGACUGGGAUAACUUCGGGAAACCGGAGCUAAUACCGGAUAAUAUUUUGAACCGCAUGGUUCAAAAGAAAAAGACGGUCUUGCUGUCACUUAUAGAUGGAUCCGCGCUGCAUUAGCUAGUUGGUAAGGUAACGGCUUACCAAGGCAAGGAUGAAUAGCCGACCUGGGAGGGGGAUCGGCCACACGGGAACGGAGAAACGGCCCAGACUCCUACGGGAGGAAGAAGUAGGGAAUCUUGCGAAAGGGGCGAAAGCCUGCCGGAGCAAGGCCGCGGGAGUGAGGAAGGUCUUCGGAUCGUAAAACUCUGUGAUUAGGGAAGACCACAUGGGUAAGUAACUGUGCACAUCUUGACGGUACCUAAUCAGAAAGCCACGGCUAACUACGUG